AAGACUAUAUUUUUAGGAGUAAUUUUUAUAGUUUGUUACUAGAGCAGUUUCUCUGAUCAGGCAGAGCAUCAAAACCAUGAGGAGGAGCCAGAGUAUUCUCUCCUGAGCAUGAAGUCGUAUCUAGGUGUUGCUUCUGCAACUGCCUUUGACCUUGAAGAUCCUUCUUCUCUUCUUCUAUUUUGGCAGAGUGGUGGGAGAGGAUACAAUGAGUGGU
Molecule: small nucleolar RNA, 214 nt
Organism: Sorex fumeus (smoky shrew)
Lineage: Eukaryota; Metazoa; Chordata; Mammalia; Eulipotyphla; Soricidae
Product: small nucleolar RNA U3
Exons: 1
Source: RefSeq, a predicted model, not a curated record